RNAcentral lists this ribosomal RNA (240 nucleotides) under uncultured bacterium. RNAcentral's name for it is "partial 16S ribosomal RNA". It matches the Rfam family "Bacterial small subunit ribosomal RNA", at positions 524 to 763 of the family's 1533-position model. The record is from RNAcentral.
UACAGGGGGUGCAACCGUUGCUCGGAAUCAUUGGGCGUAAAGCGCACGUAGGCGGUUAUUUAAGUCGGAUGUGAAAGCCCUUGGCUCAACCGAGGAAGUGCAUCCGAAACUGAGUAGCUGGAGUACGAAAGAGGGUCGCGGAAUUCCCGGUGUAGAGGUAAAAUUCGUAGAUAUCAGGAGGAACACCGGUGGCGAAGGCGGUUCUCUGGGCCGUAACUGACGCUGAGGAGCGAAAGCGUG